Molecule: long non-coding RNA, 393 nt
Organism: Helianthus annuus (common sunflower)
Lineage: Eukaryota; Viridiplantae; Streptophyta; Magnoliopsida; Asterales; Asteraceae
Exons: 2
Source: RefSeq, a predicted model, not a curated record
AUUUCAUUAUGUGGAUGAUUGAAUGCGUUUCAGUUACAGAAACCCCUACAGGCGGAAAUCCCUUCUCUCUAAAAACGAAGAAAGCUUAAUCGUAAAACCCUAAUUCAAUCUUUCAUCUUUGUUGAACUCACCCAUGGUGAGGAGUCACAUUUGACUUUGGCUUAUUUUACACAACUUUGUUUGUGAGGAAUCACUGCUGGGAAACAGAAGGGUAUGUAUUUGGGAUAUCAACUUCUUUCUCUGCUAAAUCUAAACCCUUGUUACUUUUCUCCGGUUCAUCCAGAUUACCAAUCGCAAAACAGCAAUUCUGCAGAUAUGUUUGUAUAGGCCUUAUUGAAUCUUUUAUAAAUGGAAGAAAGCGGGAGAUCUCGGGUUCGGUCGACGGUUUCAUGG